CCUACGGGAGGCAGCAGUGAGGAAUAUUGGACAAUGGGCGCAAGCCUGAUCCAGCCAUGCCGCGUGCAGGAAGAAGCAUCUAUGGUGUGUAAACUGCUUUUGUACAGGAAGAAACACUCCCUCGUGAGGGAGCUUGACGGUACUGUAAGAAUAAGGACCGGCUAACUCCGUGCCAGCAGCCGCGGUAAUACGGAGGGUCCGAGCGUUAUCCGGAAUCAUUGGGUUUAAAGGGUCCGUAGGCGGUUUAAUAAGUCAGUGGUGAAAUCUGGUCGCUCAACGAUCAAACGGCCAUUGAUACUGUUAGACUUGAAUUAUAAGGAAGUAACUAGAAUAUGUAGUGUAGCGGUGAAAUGCUUAGAUAUUACAUGGAAUACCAAUUGCGAAGGCAGGUUACUACUUAUGGAUUGACGCUGAUGGACGAAAGCGUGGGGAGCGAACAGGAUUAGAUACCCUGGUAGUCCACGCCGUAAACGAUGGAUACUAGCUGUUCGGAGCAAUCUGAGUGGCUAAGCGAAAGUGAUAAGUAUCCCACCUGGGGAGUACGUUCGCAAGAAUGAAACUUAAAGAGUAGUCGCGUGNGAGAGACGACGACGACGACGAGGAGGGAGGAGG
RNAcentral lists this ribosomal RNA (612 nucleotides) under uncultured bacterium. RNAcentral describes it as "bacterial SSU rRNA". It matches the Rfam family "Bacterial small subunit ribosomal RNA", at positions 338 to 1414 of the family's 1533-position model. The record is from RNAcentral.